UACGGGGGGGGCAAGCGUUGUUCGGAAUUACUGGGCGUAAAGGGCUCGUAGGUGGCCAACUAAGUCGGACGUGAAAUCCCUCAGCUUAACUGGGGAACUGCGUCCGAUACUGGAUGGCUUGAGUUUGGGAGAGGGAUGCGGAAUUCCAGGUGUAGCGGUGAAAUGCGUAGAGAUCAUGAGGAAGACCAGUGGCGAAGGCGGGUCUCUGGACAGUUCCUGACACUGAGACACGAAGGCCAGGGGAGCAAACGGG
RNAcentral lists this ribosomal RNA (253 nucleotides) under uncultured bacterium. RNAcentral's name for it is "partial 16S ribosomal RNA". It matches the Rfam family "Bacterial small subunit ribosomal RNA", at positions 524 to 776 of the family's 1533-position model. The record is from RNAcentral.